Quercus lobata is the source of this 2047-nucleotide RNA transcript. RefSeq lists it as uncharacterized. The transcript has 5 exons. NCBI's taxonomy places the organism in Eukaryota, Viridiplantae, Streptophyta, Magnoliopsida, Fagales, Fagaceae. The record is from RefSeq and is a predicted model, not a curated record.
CCUCCACUUGAUUUUCCUUCUUCUCCUCACCAUUUCUUCUCCAAAAAAACUCUUUUCUAAGCUUCUCAACCUUCCUUCACUCAUCACCCUCAAUAUUUUCUUAGAUCCUUGUGUUCUUGAGCACUUUUGCCACACACCCAUUUUUUGUGAAACCUAUUUUCAAAUCCAUCUUUUCUUUGCACCAACAUGUCUUCUUCUUCCAAUGGAUCCUCUUUUCUUACUUUUCAAGGCAAGAAAUAUGAUCAAACAUUUGAUUGGAAUGAUGAGGAAGGGCUCCUUCAAGACCCCAAGACCCAUGCUCCAUAUUCUCACAUGGACAUCAAGAGCCUCAAGAGUCGAGGUAGUCUCCAAAUGUUGAAGAGCAUAUGGGAAGCAUUGUCUCCUGCCAUCAAGAAUAUCAUCAAUGAUGCAGGCUUUGGUACUUUCUUUGAAGCUUUACUAAAUCAAGAGACUCAUGAAUACAAGGACCUCCAACUACUCCUCGCUUUGUUAGAACGCUUCUGGGACACCACAUGUACCUUCCAUUUUCCAGGCAUUGGUGAGGUAAUGUUGACACCUUACGACUUUUCCAUCAUCAGGGGCUUGAAGUUGGGUGGUGAGAGAAUCCGUGUCCAUGACUCCCUUUCUUCAAAUGAAAUCAAGAAACUUCUAGGUGUAAUGCCUUCCAAAAUGAGGAGUAAAAAUGUUCAUUUCUCGUGGCUAUGUGAGAACAUUACCAAAUGUGAUACUGUGGCAAAGGGUACCCGCAUGUUCAUGCUUCUUUUCAUUGGGACUUUCUUGUGCCCAGAUUUAGGCAGUACAAUGAAUCUACGUUAUUUAUGGAGCAUUUAUGGAGCUUGAGAAACAUUGAGCAAAUCAAGAAUUAUGACUGAGGCGGUAUGGCUUAUGCUACCCUUUUGCAUAUCAUGACUCAGCUUUCUAAGCGUAGCCUUUCAAGCCUAGGUGGGGCUCCAUUUGUAUGGCAGGUCUGAAUGUAUGAAUACUUUGGAGUUGGCCCUUAAGUUUGGGAGGAGGUUAAUGGCAUUUUUCCAAGAUUUCUCUAUUGGUUGCCCAAACAUCAUUUGUCAACGCUCUCCAAGCGUUCUUUGGAAAUUUGGCGCUUGGUGAUUGACAACUUGACUACUGAUGAUGUUCUGUUGUGAUUUUUCAGAUGUCUUUGAAUCCUUGGGUUGGAUAUGAGGAGUAUGCGGAGUGUGAGUGGGCUUUGGAGCUAUAUAGCCGUCAGGUAUUGUUUGAGUGUGGGCAUGGAAGGUAUUGGUAUCUUGGUAAUCAGGUGUUGCCUUAGGUUCAUCAUGAGUAUCCUCCUACAACAAUUCUAGUUCCUCCUUGUCCCUCCAUCCAGUUGGCUGACCAUCUAACUAAUGAAGAAAUUGCUUAGAUCCGUGUUGGCUUUGUGGUUUCAGGAGUAGCAGGGACUUAUUCUGAAUUUAUUCGAACUCAUCGGCAAGGUUGCCUGGCUGGCAUAUCGACUCCAUCUUCUGAAGGAGAGGAAGAAGAAGAAGAGAUUCCUUCUCCUCACCAUGCUAGUAGCUGUUCUAGUUCUUUCAUGGACACUUGUUCCCACUUUCUGGCAUGGCAAUAUGAAGUGAUGAAUCCUGAUGAAACAUAUAGUUCCAUGCCUUUGAAUAGGCCAGAGCACACACCAAAUGUCAUUUGGCCUGAUCCGCUGUGUUCUUGAAUUUUUAAUUCCUUGUCUUUAUCUCUUCUUGGUUUACUGAAUGGCUCCUGAUCUUGGAAGCAACUGAUUCUGCCAGAAGAACUUUGGAGGACAGGAUUAGAAAUCUUGAACUUGAGAAUCGUCAGUAUGAUCCUCGAUUUUAUGCAAGUCAAGAAGGAAAUACUGAAGGUGGUUCCUUUAAAGGUGGGUGGAGGAGGUCUUUUUGCAAGCAGACCCAGAGUCCCAAUGAUGUUUGAUUUGUAUUUUUAAUUUUUCUUGCAAAACAAAAGGAAGUGUUCCUUAGAUAAUCUUGUAUUAACUUGCAUGUUUAGCUCUUUGUCCUUGGAAUUGCCUUGAUCAUGUAGAGACUUUAAAUGAGACAAGUUUAGA